Molecule: ribosomal RNA, 253 nt
Filed under: uncultured bacterium
Lineage: Bacteria
Description: partial 16S ribosomal RNA
Rfam family: Bacterial small subunit ribosomal RNA
Source: RNAcentral
UACGGGGGGGGCAAGCGUUGUUCGGAAUUACUGGGCGUAAAGGGUUUGUAGGUGGCUUGCUAAGUCAGACGUGAAAUCCCUCAGCUUAACUGGGGAACUGCGUCCGAGACUGGCAGGCUUGAGUGCAGGAGAGGAACGCGGAAUUCCAGGUGUAGCGGUGAAAUGCGUAGAUAUCUGGAGGAACACCGGUGGCGAAGGCGGCGUUCUGGACUGCAACUGACACUGAAAAACGAAAGCCAGGGGAGCAAACGGG